UACGUAGGUGGCAAGCGUUGUCCGGAUUUACUGGGCGUAAAGAGCGCGCAGGCGGUCGUUCAAGUCGCGUGUGAAAGCCCCCGGCUCAACUGGGGAGGGUCACGCGAUACUGAUCGACUCGAAGGCAGGAGAGGGAAGUGGAAUUCCCGGUGUAGUGGUGAAAUGCGUAGAUAUCUGGAGGAACACCGGUGGCGAAGGCGACAUCCUGGACCGGUAUUGACGCUGAGGCGCGAAAGCCAGGGGAGCAAACGGG
This 253-nucleotide ribosomal RNA is filed under the name uncultured bacterium. Its description in RNAcentral is "partial 16S ribosomal RNA". It matches the Rfam family "Bacterial small subunit ribosomal RNA", at positions 524 to 776 of the family's 1533-position model. The record is from RNAcentral.